GUGAAUCAUCGAAUUUUUGAACGCAAAUUGCACUCUCUGGUAUUCCAGGGAGUAUGCUUGCUUGAGUGUUAGUUUAUUACAAAUCGUAAAAAUAAAUUUUUACGUAUCUUGAUUUUGCAAAAGAUAUUUGUUUGGUAAUAUAAAAUUUAUCAUAACAAUAGUUGAUAUUUGAAAUGUUUAUCUUUAAUUCACUAACAAUUAUUACCAAAUUUGUUACAUCAUGUUAUUUUCCUAAUUUCUUAAUUAUGUAAAGUAAUACAAUUUGAAUUCUUACUUCAAGUCAAGUAAU
RNAcentral lists this unclassified non-coding RNA (289 nucleotides) under Acaulospora lacunosa. RNAcentral describes it as "partial internal transcribed spacer 2". The stretch from base 1 to 71 matches the Rfam family "5.8S ribosomal RNA", at positions 84 to 154 of the family's 154-position model. Lineage: Eukaryota; Fungi; Glomeromycota; Glomeromycetes; Diversisporales; Acaulosporaceae. The record is from RNAcentral.